Molecule: long non-coding RNA, 228 nt
Filed under: Nicotiana benthamiana
Lineage: Eukaryota; Viridiplantae; Streptophyta; Magnoliopsida; Solanales; Solanaceae
Description: long non-coding RNA (NBEN_LNC030828)
Source: RNAcentral
ACAACUUGGUUAUCAUUACCAUUACAAGAAACAGAAACAGGAUUACAAGGAUUAGAAAAACAAGUAACAGAGGGAGAAGGGGAAGAAGGAGACCAAGCUAGUUUAUACAGCCCAGCAGUUUGUCUACCAAGAUCCAGUGGCCUCCUCAGAGAAGGGUCCUGUAUCAUGUGUAGAAAACAGGAGUAUUCAGUGAACAUAACAAUACAGUGUAACUGCUUCACUAACUUG